This 385-nucleotide ribosomal RNA is filed under the name uncultured bacterium. RNAcentral's name for it is "bacterial SSU rRNA". It matches the Rfam family "Bacterial small subunit ribosomal RNA", at positions 355 to 754 of the family's 1533-position model. The record is from RNAcentral.
UGGGGAAUAUUGGGCAAUGGGCGCAAGCCUGACCCAGCAACGCCGCGUGAGGGAAGAAGGUUUUCGGAUUGUAAACCUCUGUCCUUGGGGACGAAAAAAAUGACGGUACCCAAGGAGGAAGCUCCGGCUAACUACGUGCCAGCAGCCGCGGUAAUACGUAGGGAGCAAGCGUUGUCCGGAAUUACUGGGCGUAAAGGGUGCGUAGGCGGCAAGGCAAGUCAGAUGUGAAAUCCCCGGGCUUAACUCGGGGGGUGCAUUUGAAACUGCUUAGCUUGAGUGCAGGAGAGGAAAGCGGAAUUCCUAGUGUAGCGGUGAAAUGCGUAGAUAUUAGGAGGAACACCAGUGGCGAAGGCGGCUUUCUGGACUGUAACUGACGCUGAGGCAC